GAUGAACGCUGGCUACAGGCUUAACACAUGCAAGUCGAGGGGAAACGACGGGGAAGCUUGCUUCCCCGGGCGUCGACCGGCGCACGGGUGAGUAACGCGUAUCCAACCUGCCUCUGACUGAGGGAUAACCCGUCGAAAGUCGGCCUAAUACCUCAUGGCAUCGUCUGCGGGCAUCCAACGACGAUUAAAGAUUUCAUCGGUCAGGGAUGGGGAUGCGUCUGAUUAGCUUGUUGGCGGGGUAACGGCCCACCAAGGCUACGAUCAGUAGGGGUUCUGAGGGGAAGGUCCCCCACAUUGGAACUGAGACACGGUCCAAACUCCUACGGGAGGCAGCAGUGAGGAAUAUUAGUCAAUGGGCGGGAGCCUGAACCAGCCAAGUAGCGUGCAGGAUGACGGCCCUAUGGGUUGUAAACUGCUUUUAUGCGGGGAUAAAGUGAGGGACGUGUCCUUCAUUGCAGGUACCGCAUGAAUAAGGACCGGCUAAUUCCGU
This 490-nucleotide ribosomal RNA is filed under the name uncultured bacterium. RNAcentral's name for it is "partial 16S ribosomal RNA". It matches the Rfam family "Bacterial small subunit ribosomal RNA", at positions 28 to 506 of the family's 1533-position model. The record is from RNAcentral.